CAGAUACACACACACACACACACACACACACACAGUCUCAGUCAGAAGGACGGAGGUUUACAUCCGGAAAGACGGCCGAGUUCUCUCGCAUAUGUGUGGAUGCGAGAUGUGCCGCCACUCGACUACUAAGCGACGCCUUGGGUCAAGGGGAGUUGUGUUGGCCAUGGUUGUGGCAUUUAUGCUCAGUGCUCAGGCAUCCACGGCGUCCUUCCAAUACAGCGGCGGUGGUGGUCAAAACAGCGUCGGAAUGUUCCCAGGGAAAGCUACCUGGGGCCCCAGCCCGCUGGCUGGUGGCUCUCUUAGCGCCGGUAUUGAGUCACCCGACGGGUCGCCGCCUCAUAAGGUGCUGCCGGUUGUCAGACCGGAGGGCGCCAAGGUCGUGGCCACUUCUGUCGCAGUGGAUGAAGUGAAGGUUGGCUACCCUUCCCUUUCCGCCGUCCCCCAGAUCCCCUCCCGCCGCCCGUCUCCUCCCUCACCGAAUCCAGGCUACACAGUGGGAGGGUCAGGGUCUCCCGUUGGCCGACUGGUGGUGCUCCCAGCCGGCAUCAGCGGCGACUCCCCCUUUGUGAUCACCCGCCAGCGAGGUCCCAACUUUAAGAGGAUCUUUGGUUCCAUCACAAAACGACUCAAAUGACCGAACCUCUGUGGUCACAAGUGUUGCACUGCCCGCCGUAAACCAAGCCUCUACACUACAUUCUUCAUUGACCUCUAAUAGCUGGCUAGUUGGAGUAUUUCGGGUGGUGACACUGAUUUUACAUUGGGGUCACGAUAUAGUUUUUAGCCGCUGUUGUUCAUAUAGUUAUUCCUCUCUUCAGUGGAUUUUUUUUCUGAAAAAAAUAACUAUCAAGACUCUCAUAGCCUAUAGAUUAUUAUAGAUAUAUUUUUAAUACCAGUCCCUAAAACCUAUUAAAUAAUUAGAAAAUACAUCUAUGUUGAACCGAAAUUACCAUUAUCGAAAAGGUAAAUGAACAUAUUCCGAUCAUACAUUAUAAAUAUUUAGUGAACAAGUCAAUUACAAUCGUAUUGUUAGAUGUUAAUGCACGUGGAGGAUGUGGAAAUAUUAUAAUUCUUCCAUCAACUGUGUUUUUAUCGUAUUUCCGUUACAUUCUCGAAACAUAAAGGCAUCUGAGGCGACAUAUUCUGCGACUAGGAAACCUUGUUUCCUAUAGACCAAAUCAGGUAUAGUGGUUGAGUGAUAGGUGUGUAGGUUUAGGAUACUACAGAGUGUAAUACAAAUGUGGCAAAAGAAACUUAUGUGUGGAUAGUAGCAAGCGUGGCAGUAAUACUCUUUUCCAAGCUACAGUCAGAAUUCAUUUAAAAGGAAGAAGUAUGGGAGGAGGAAGACUCACAGAACAAAAACAAUCACCUGUAAAUGAAAUUUGUUCGACUUUAAGAGGUGUAGGUAUACGUCAACUUCCUUAAUA
Eriocheir sinensis (Chinese mitten crab) is the source of this 1424-nucleotide long non-coding RNA. RefSeq lists it as uncharacterized. The record is from RefSeq and is a predicted model, not a curated record. NCBI's taxonomy places the organism in Eukaryota, Metazoa, Arthropoda, Malacostraca, Decapoda, Varunidae. The transcript is spliced from 3 exons.